Molecule: ribosomal RNA, 460 nt
Filed under: uncultured bacterium
Lineage: Bacteria
Description: partial 16S ribosomal RNA
Rfam family: Bacterial small subunit ribosomal RNA
Source: RNAcentral
CCUACGGGAGGCAGCAGUGAGGAAUAUUGGUCAAUGGGCGGACGCCUGAACCAGCCAAGUCGCGUGAGGGAAGACUGCCCUAUGGGUUGUAAACCUCUUUUGUCAGGGAGCAACGCCGGCUACGUGUAGCCGGAAUGAGAGAAACUGAAGAAAAAGCAUCGGCAAACUCCGUGCCAGCAGCAGCGGUAAUAGGGAGGAUGCGAGCGUUAUCCGGAUUGAUGGGGUUUAAAGGGGGCGUAGGCGGGAUGCCAGGUCAGCGGUAAAAGCGCGGGGCUCAACCUCGCUCCGCCGUUGAAACUGGCGUUCUUGAGUGGGCGAGAGGUAUGCGGAAUGCGUGGUGUAGCGGUGAAAUGCGUAGAUAUCACGCAGAACUCCGGUUGCGAAGGCAGCUUACCGGCGCCCAACUGACGCUGAGGCACGAAAGCGUGGGUAGCGAACAGGAUUAGAUACCCCGGUAGUC